Molecule: ribosomal RNA, 116 nt
Filed under: Trifolium pratense (red clover)
Lineage: Eukaryota; Viridiplantae; Streptophyta; Magnoliopsida; Fabales; Fabaceae
Source: RNAcentral
AGGUGCGAUCAUACCAGCACUAAUGCACCGGAUCCCAUCAGAACUUCGAAGUUAAGCGUGUUUGGGCGAGAGAAGUACUAGGCUGGGUGACCUCCUGAAAAGUUGAUUCUUAUUUC